RNAcentral lists this ribosomal RNA (415 nucleotides) under uncultured bacterium. RNAcentral's name for it is "bacterial SSU rRNA". It matches the Rfam family "Bacterial small subunit ribosomal RNA", at positions 355 to 775 of the family's 1533-position model. The record is from RNAcentral.
UGGGGAAUUUUGCGCAAUGGGGGAAACCCUGACGCAGCGACGCCGCGUGGAGGAUGACGGCCUUCGGGUUGUAAACUCCUGUCAGAAGGGACGAAAUCCCGCAAGGGACUGACGGUACCUUCAGAGGAAGCCCCGGCUAACUACGUGCCAGCAGCCGCGGUAAUACGUAGGGGGCAAGCGUUGCUCGGAAUUACUGGGCGUAAAGGGUGAGUAGGCGGUCGAGCAAGUCAAGGAUGAAAUCCCGAGGCCCAACUUCGGAAUUGUUCUUGAAACUGCUCGGCUUGAGGGUAGUUGAGGAGAGUGGAAUUCCCGGUGGAGCGGUGAAAUGCGUAGAUAUCGGGAGGAACACCUGAGGCGAAGGCGGCUCUCUAAACUACUCCUGACGCUGAAUCACGAAAGCUAGGGGAGCAAACGG